UUAACUAGCGGACGUCCGCGAUUUUGUCCGCGUGGAAUUCAGUUUUACCGCGGGAACUAUCUAAUAAAUAACUAUCUAAAUAUCUAAUCGGGAUAAGAAGUGGUCUAUGUGUAAUUCAAGGCUUAUAUUUAUUUCAAACGUGAGUUAAUUCGGUUCAGAAGUCGCGGCGUGAUAGUUACAACCAUUCGUACCAUCAAAAUCAUCAGUUUUUUUGCAAACCUCGGGACAUCAUGGAGUUUUUCGGGACAAAGAGUAGCAUAUGUGUUAAUCCAGUGUAAAAUCUAUUUCCAUGCCAAAUUUGAGCCAAAUCGGUGCAGUAGUUGUGGCGUUUAAGAGUAACAAACAUCCAUACAAAGUUUCGCUUUUAAUAUAUUAGUAGGAUAAAUAACACUAACGAAAUAUAUGUAGCUCAAGGCAGUCUCGGGGAAGUAAGUGAACUAUAAAUUGGCAACUUCGUUCUUAACACUCCCGAUGGUUCGCGCUGGCGGGGGGCGUGUAGCGAUGACUGAAAAACCCACGACUGAUGCAUCUCAUUUUCCCGCACGCACGAUUUCACACCCGCUCAGUCUUUCCCCCGUCGCCCGCAUACGAUGGGAGUGGCAUCAACGAACUUGCCAGACUAUAAAACAACGGUUGUCUGCGCAAGUACUGAUAUGAACAAAAGUGUUAGAUCUGUGCUCUGCUAGUGCUUGUACUUGUUUUAACAGUCUUAGUUAUGCGGAUGACAUGGUAGUUCUCAGCCCCUCUGAGGCCUAAGGAAACUGAUUUCAGUGUGUGAGCAUUAUGCUAAUGGCCAUGGACUGAAAUAUAAUGUGAAAAAGUCUGAAAUGAUGGUAUUCCGCGCAGGCAAAGGUCCGGAGAGGAUACCGGAAGUAACAUUGAAUGAAACAGCGGUUCGGGUUGUGUCGAAAUUUAAAUAUCUGGGGCAUAUUCUCGAUGAACACCUAAGGGACGACUGUGACAUUGAGAGGGAAAGGAGGGCACUUUCGAUUCGAUGUAACAUGCUUGCACGCAGAUUUGGCAAAUGUAGCAGACCCGUCAAGAAAACAUUGUUUAGCGCGUAUUGCCAGUGUUUUUAUACCUGUCAAUUGUGGACAAAGGAGAAUGCCAGAUCCUGACCCAGUCCUCACUCGGAAUUUUGCGGAAAAUGUAGAUGUACUAAAUAUAUUAAAUUUUUAAAUAAUUGUUUUUUAAUAAACCAUUUUUACUGUUAAACUCCGGAAUAAAAAUCUGCCAAAAAAAGUAAUUAUAUCCAUUACGUUAUUUCCUCAUAGCUGACUUGUUUACUUAUUUUUUAAAAACCUUUUUUCGACCUUGGGUUCGAGCCCUUUAGGGCGUUUUUAGUGCAUUCUAAUUAUUUUAUGUUCAAAAUGUCUAGAAUCCAGAGCUGCGAAGUCAGAUCAAAAUGUAAAAAUAAACUGUCAGAACACUGUCAAACUAUCAAAACUCGUAAUAGAGUAAUUUGAAAAUAAUAAAAUCACGUUUUUUUUACAUGUAUUGCAUGUGCUAAGUGCUUCUGUAUUUACAAAAAACCAAUCACGACGCUUUAUCGUUAUCUACUUCAUAAUAAACUGCACAUAUACUUAACCUUGAAAUCAAACUUCAACUUGGAUUUAUUUUCAUACCCCUAGUCAUAAAGGGUUAAAAGGUAAUAUUUGUUUAAUAGUACAAAAAAUCCAAUAAAAUGACAUAUAAUAUAUUGUUGCAAAUUAUUUUUUUUAGUGGGUCAAACUUCUAUACAUUGUCUGGCAUUGUCCUUUCCUCAGAAAGUCCUACACGGCAAUACGCGUACACUACAAUGAUGCAUUUCGAAUCUUGAUGGGUCUGCCUAGAUAUUGCAGUGCCUCUGGCAUGUUUGCCGAGUCGAGAGUGCCUGACUUUUAUGCUGUCAUGAGAACACGCGUGGCCUCCUUCUGGGAGAGACUCAGAACAGCGCGUAACAGCAUCCUCAGGACAGUUUGCGACGGGAUGCCCAGCCCUUUGUUUACAUAUUGGCUAUCUGUGCAUCAAUACAAUAAUAAGAAAUAGUUUAUACUCCGGACUAGAAUGACGCCUGGGAAGAGUCUUUUAACCUUCCCAGUUAGUAUGUAAGUUUUAAUACCUAUUUGUAAUAUUAAUUAUUAUUAUUUUAUUUCAAUAUGUAAUCUGUAUACUGGGUGCUUUUACCUUUAAUAAAAAUUAUUAUUAUAUUAGUAUUAAAGAUGGCAAAUAAAUGAACUUUUUGUUGAAUGUCAAUGAAUGCCAACGUUAUGCUAUGGUUAUAUCGCUAUUGUGGCUACCUCGUACGGCGCUAACUGUUCGAUCACUUUACUAUAAUUAAACACAACACUCUUUUUAACUAACUUUUAUUACUCACUUCACAAUAUAUAUAGAAACUAAUUUUAAGUAUCAACCACGUGGUGGGCUUAUUCGUUCAACUUAUAUGAUAUCGAAACGGAACAAUGGUAGCGUGAGUUAGACGACUACUAACGCCAUCUAUCGGCGGUCAUGACAACUUUUAUCGAUUUAAACACUAACACCCAACAUUGUGUUACUUUAGUUCAACUUACAUGCCGCUUAGUAUACCUACUUUACUUUAAUGCGCUUACUAUAGCUUCAUUGAUGACGCUCCCUUUAUGCGGGCAACGGAAGUGGAAGGACUGCGGGUGUGAAGUCGUGCGCGUGGGCCAUCGCUAUCCCUCUCCCGGCCCCCACGGACCAUCGGAACGUGUUACGAACGAAUUUGUCGCAUUUGCAAUCUAUUUCGAUGUUAUUACAGUAUUAAUUUUAAUAAUAAUAAUAAUAAUAAUUGCCGUGUGGCACCGGCAGAGCAGAAUGUUGCCACCCCUAUCUUCCCGAGGGUGUCGUAAGAGCGACUAAGGGACUUUGGAGAACCACUCGACAUCUUCUGGUUCUCCGAAGAGCUAGCUGGCUCAAAAAUACUAGCCUCCUUGGGGACCUGAGUGGACCCCAAGUGAUGUAAUUACCACUCACCCCACCUUAUAAAUGAUGAUGGACAACAAUAAUGAUGAGCGACUAGGGCCGCUACCUGGGCCCUCGAGAAAGAGAUAUGGUGGCAAAGGAAAAAAUAUGCCGGACUCACCAUGUGCCGUUCGUUGCAUUUAAAAACAACAAAUGAUUCCUUUGGUUCUUGGGUUUGCUACAAAAAAUCUUGUAAAAAUAAAAACAAAAUACCCAGAGCCAAAGGAACAUAUUUUGAAAAUAUCAAGAUAGACAUAAGGUAUGUUUUCUAUCUAAUAUAUGCAUACGCCCAUGGUUUUAACCAAGAUACCACAAUUCACGAGGACCCAUUAAAAGAAGAGGGAAAAUGUUUAUCCCGAGCCACCAUAUCGGACUGGUUUAAUUAUUGCAGGGAAGCGGUUGUACUAUAUUUUAUAAACCAACAAGAAAGUAUAGGAAAAAUUGGAGGACCUAAUAAAAUAGUUCAGAUUGACGAAUCCAAGUUUGGCAAGAGAAAAUAUAAUAAAGGUAAUUAUUAGACUUUUAUAAAAUUAAUAAAGACAAACAAGGUUACUCUUCUUGAUCUAUUGAUCUAUUCAUUAUACAAUUAAUUAUUGUCUUUUAUUGUUUCGGGUCGGGAUAUAGAAGGACAUUGGGUUAUUGGAAUGAUUGAAGAUGGAUCUGAAGACUUGAGAUUGGAGUUGUGCCCGGAUCAUAUUCAGAGUGCUGAUGUGUUGGUGCCCCAUAUCAAGAAACAUGUAGAAGUUGCACCACAAUACACACAACUUUUGGCUGCAUACGACUGCCGUAGUCAUCACGGGUACAUCCACAAGAAAGUUAAUCAUGCAAAUCCAGAUAACCCCUUUGUUGCUCCGGUUGGGACUCAUACUCAAAGAAUAGUCCCAAUGGAGAGGGGUAAAAAGAUUCUUCAAAAAAGAAAAUUAUAUAACCCUAAUAAUUUUGCCGACUUAGUCAUGGAAUAUAUGUGGAGGAGAAAUGUUGUAAAAUAUAAAUUACAAACCCAUUCAUUAAUUUGUUGGAAGCAAUUACGUUUGUAUAUAAUAUAAAUAAAUAAUUUUAAAGUUUUUAGUAUCAUUUAUGCGCGUGUGAAUUUGGACGGUAAAAUUAUUCUGAAUAUUGAAGUUCAUAGUAGUGUGGUAGCUGGUAGCGGCUUGCGGUGGCCUGCAGACAGGUGAAUACAUAGAACACACAAUUCUCGACCUACACCGACACAUUACACACUUGCUCGCCCGUCAGCUGAGGUCAACCAACCCAGGUCAGCUCGCGACACUUCGGACCGUGAGUGUCCGUUGCCUAUCUAACUAAUUGUAUAAAGGCUUUCGUUUCGCGGUGUAGCGCCGUAUUACGAAUGCCCGUCUGCCCACUCUGAUUAGUUGAUGGGCCCCUGAUCCACUCGCGUGGAAGCCGGAGGAUUGCCUCCACCAUCAUCGCUGCCCGUGACUACCAAGAGCUGAAAGAUGCGAUCCGUGCAGCACAAAAUGACGAAUCCUCGCAGCCAACGGGUCAAACAAUAAUGAAUAUUAUGAGGUAUGGCAGGAAACAGAAACCAGUAUGCACGAUACGUUCCACGAUACAGGUCUAAAGAUAGGUAUUACAAUUCAUAUGGCCAUAAUCAUAACCAUAAUUAUAAUCAAAAGGCCCCAAGUACUCAACAUGGACAAUAUUCUUAUUACCUCCUUAUCACUGCGAAUAAAUUCGCGGGAAAGAAUUGAAAAAAGAUUUUUAUAACAAUUUGCAAGUAUUUUUGCACAGGCACAGCUACGAACCUGAACAAACAAGACGAGAGAACGAAUACGCAAUAUAAUAACAGCCACCAUCAACAUCAUCUUCAUCAUAAUUUGCGCAUUCAGUCCAUACCAUUGUAAGUUGAAUCCAAUAGAAUUAAUAUAGACACAAAAUCACAUGUCGGGGAAAAUUUCAGCAUUAGUCCAGAUGAGUCUCCAUCGAUUGUUUUUUCAAUUUAUUAUUUAACUCCCAGUUUAUGUCCGUGUUAGUAUCGAGCAUAAAUACUCAUGGUUUACGCCUAAUGAUAAAAAGUUCAGGCGGUUCCAAUACUAGGACUUUAUAAUGGAAUAACACCAAACGAAGACGAAAAAAGUAUUUUCUUGGCAUUGAUUACUGGAGUAGACAUGUAUAAUAGGACCUGCCUUUUUAAAAAAUCAUGUCCCUGGACCGUUUUCUGUUAAUACUUCGCAAUUUAACUUUUUCCGAUAAUAAUUCAUAUAAUAACACUGGUGCCAACAGAUGUCAAAACAAUAAUGGUUUUUUAACUCGCUCAUGAAAACUUUAGUAAAUCCUCCUAAAAAUUUAACAAUUGACGAAAGUAUUGUGCUAUGGCGAGGACGAUUAAGUAGACAAUAUAUCAAAGGCCACUGGGCGGCGUUGAUCGUAAAGAUCAGAUGAUCCAUGCACUUUUUCCAUAGAAGGCCAUCGCCAGAUCAGGAGUCUGUGCCCGAACCGACUCCCUCAACAUCUGCAGCUGCUGCAUCAGAGGCAGAUCUGCUUCCGUCACCGGAGCAGCUCAGUCCCGAGCCGAGCCGGCAUCAACAGCACUAAUGGGCUCUUCACCACGGUACAUGGAGUCAUGGGAAACAACCAUGGAGUUGGGGUCACCCACCAAUGUUACAGGUACCCCACAAAUUACUUUAUAAGGACAAACUUUUGGCAUCUGCAGUUGAAUGUCACCAGGUUCCCCUACUGACAACCAGCGUCGACGCCUCCUGUGAUCAGAAGGCUGGCCAAUAUUUAGGUCAAAGAGUCACUUUCAGCCCAUAAAGUGUGCCCCACAGCCUUGUGGACACUUUACCAAUGAACAUCGAUUCGGAGGAAUUCUACAACGACAAGUCUUUUGAUUUAUUUUUAAUUUAAUAAAAGGAAUAAUAUUUCCAUUUGUUCAAUUUGUUAAAAUUAAAAAGAACCGGAGAUCUGUGGGGCAUGUCAGUGAAAGUAAUAUCUAAUAUAAUUGAUGUAAUUGCUCCCCACUUAGCCAUUAUUUUUAAUGAAUGUGUGGACUUAGGUAUUUUUCCGAACCUAAUGAAGCAUGGCAAAUUGAUACCACUUUUUAAAUCAGGAGACAAAUCAGAUCUUAAUAAUUAUAGACCGAUUACAAUAUUGCCAACACUUAGCAAGGUCUUUGAAAAAAUCAUAUUAAAUCAACUUUUAUGUCAUUUUAAUUUAAAUAACUUGUUUCAUCCUGAACAGUAUGGUUUUACAAAAGGUCGCAAUACAACUGAUGCAGGGGCUAAACUUUUAAAACAUAUUUAUGAAGCAUGGGAAGGUUCUAAGAAUGCUAUUGGUGUGUUCUGUGAUCUGUCCAAGGCGUUCGAUUGUGUUGACCAUAACACCCUUCUACUCAAGUUAAGCCACUAUGGCAUCAAAAGUGUUGCACUCGAUCUCAUUGCCUCUUAUCUCAGUGAUAGAACGCAGAAGGUAUGCAUAAAUGAUAUAAAGUCGCACGGUUCCACUACCAUAAUGGGCGUCCCACAGGGUUCAAUUCUGGGUCCUUUUCUAUUUUUAGUGUACAUAAACGAUUUACCAUACCAUGUCAGCGGCAUAUGUGAGAUUGUACUGUUUGCUGAUGACACAUCCUUAAUUUUUAAGUCCGACAGAAAUAAAGAUAACUCUGACGACGUAAACCGUGCCAUAUCGCAUGUGUCGCAUUGGUUCACUGCAAAUAAUCUACUUUUGAAUGCCAAGAAAACUAAAUGUAUUGAGUUUUCAUUGCCAAAUGUUAAAAAAUUAGAUAAGUCUAUAAUAAUGAUCGAUGGUGAAACACUGGAAAUGGAGAGUUCCACAGUUUUCCUGGGAGUUACCUUGGAUUGUAAACUUCAGUGGGGUGCUCAUAUAGAAAAACUGUCUGGUAAACUUAGCUCAGCGGCAUUUGCCGUGAGAAAAAUAAGACAGUUUACUGAUGUUGAUACAGCUAGGCUCGUUUAUUUUGCGUACUUUCACAGCGUAAUGUCUUACGGUAUUUUAUUGUGGGGCAAGGCUGCCGAUAUACAAUCUAUAUUUGUUCUUCAAAAAAGAGCAAUUCGAGCAAUAUAUCAAUUAAAAUCACGCGAGUCCCUUCGUCAAAAGUUUAAAGAAAUAGGUAUACUAACAGUAGCCUGUCAAUAUAUAUAUAACAGUAUAGUAUUUGUAAGACAAAAUAUUAAUUUGUACAAACGAAAAGGAGAUUUAAACCCACGUCUUACUAGACACGGGCAUAAGUUAGUUAUUUCUGCAUAUCGUCUCCAAAGAGUAAAAAAAUCUUUUGUAGGUUUGGGUGUACUCUUCUAUAAUAAGAUCCCCAAGACUGUGAUGGACCUGCCAAUGCAUAGCUUUAAGCAAUGUGUUAAAAAACAUCUACUUAGUCGAGGGUACUACAACAUUGAUGAGUUCCUUAAUGAUAAAGAUGCUUGGAGGUCGUUGGAUCAGCUUCCACCUUCACACAGAAAGUAAAACUAUAAAAAAUGUAAACAAUAAUUGUUAUUAAUUGUAAAUUAUAAUACUGUAUGACUUUUUCAAAAGAGCAACUGUUGAGUUUCUUGCCGGUAUCUUCUCAGCAGAACCUGCCUUCCGAACCGGUGGUAGAAUCUUUACAAAUAGUCAACUGACGUGUCAAACGUGCUUGUAAACUGAGCCUACUUGAAAUAAAUGAUUUUUGAUUUUGAUUUUUUGAUUUUGAUUUAUUUUUGUUAAAUAUAAAAUGUAGGUAGUAUUUAGGUAGUUAUUUAUAUAAUAGUUUUAAUAACAAAGAUCAAGACAAUAGCUCAACCUUUAGAAAAUUUAAAAAGAUAAUUAUAAUAAUUAUAAAGUUAUCAAUAUAAUAACAGCUAACAAACACAUCUUAGUUAUUGUUUUGCGCAUUCAUUCCAUACCAUUGUAAGUUGAAUCCAAUAGAAUUAAUAUAGACACAAUUAAAAUCUCAUGUCGGGAAAAAUAAAUGAUCUUUGAAAUAAACGGUCUUACAGAUUUGAUCCAAAGAACUAGACCAAACCAGAACGGUGUCAUGAUUUACAAACCAAGUAAAACACACACACAUACAUCGACUUCUGCGCUUACCUCCCUAUCACUGCGAAUUAAAUCCCAUAGAAAAAAUAUAAGGCAGUUCACGCGGCAGAAUUGAAAAAAUCCUACACCUGACGAAGGUGAAAGAAGGAUGAACUGCACCGCAGUCUCUGCAGACGUUCCCAUUCAGUAGAGUACUUUAAUGCGCUUACUAUAGCUUCAUUGAUGACGCUCCCUUUAUGCGGGCAACGGAAGUGGAAGGACUGCGGGUGUGAAGUCGUGCGCGUGGGCCAUCGCUAUCCCUCUCCCGGCCCCCACGGACCAUCGGAACGUGUUACGAACGAAUUUGUCAAGCUAUAUACCUACCUACUUUAGACGUACCUACCUUGUCGUAUAUACUCUGCUACCCGAAGAACUUAAUGUUGAAGAAAAUAUUAAUUUUUAUAGCAAACUCGACGAGGUUCAUUCGUAUGUCAGGAUCUUGAUUUAUUCUUCUUCCUAUAUCUACAGAGAGGUUUUUACAGUGUACCGCGCUAACCAUUUAACCUGCAAUCUAUUUCGAUGUUAUUACAGUAUUAAUUUUAAUAAUAAUAAUAAUAAUAAUAAUAAUUGCCGUGUGGCACCGGCAGAGCAGAAUGUUGCCACCCCUAUCUUCCCGAGGGUGUCGUAAGAGGCGACUAAGGGACUUUGGAGAACCACUGAACAUUUUCUGGUUCUCCGAAGAGCUAGCUGGCUCAAAAAUACUAGCCUCCUUGGGGACCUGAGUGGACCCCAAGUGAUGUAAUUACCACUCACCCCACCUUAUAAAUGAUGAUGGACAACAAUAAUGAUGAGCGACUAGGGCCGCUACCUGGGCCCUCGAGAAAGAGAUAUGGUGGCAAAGGAAAAAAUAUGCCGGACUCACCAUGUGCCGUUCGUUGCAUUUAAAAACAACAAAUGAUUCCUUUGGUUCUUGGGUUUGCUACAAAAAAUCUUGUAAAAAUAAAAACAAAAUACCCAGAGCCAAAGGAACAUAUUUUGAAAAUAUCAAGAUAGACAUAAGGCAUGUUUUCUAUCUAAUAUAUGCAUACGCCCAUGGUUUUAACCAAGAUACCACAAUUCACGAGGACCCAUUAAAAGAAGAGGGAAAAUGUUUAUCCCGAGCCACCAUAUCGGACUGGUUUAAUUAUUGCAAGGAAGCGGUUGCACUAUAUUUUAUAAACCAACAAGAAAGUAUAGGAAAAAUUGGAGGACCUAAUAAAAUAGUUCAGAUUGACAAAUCCAAGUUUGGCAAGAGAAAAUAUAAUAAAGGUCGGCAUAUAGAAGGACAUUGGGUUAUUGGAAUGAUUGAAGAUGGAUCUGAAGACUUCAGAUUGGAGGUGUGCCCGGAUCAUAUUCGGAGUGCUGAUGUGUUGGUGCCCCAUAUCAAGAAACAUGUAGAAGUUGCACCACAAUACACACAACUUUUGGCUGCAUACGACUGCCGUAGUCAUCACGGGUACAUCCACAAGAAAGUUAAUCAUGCAGAUCCAGAUAACCCCUUUAUUGCUCCGGUUGGGACUCAUACUCAAAGAAUAGUCCCAAUGGAAAGGGGUAAAAAGAUUCUUCAAAAAAGAAAAUUAUAAUAACCCUAAUAAUUUUGCCGACCUAGUCAUGGAAUAUAUGUGGAGGAGAAAUGUUGUAAAAUAUAAAGACCCAUUUAUUAAUUUGUUGGAAGCAAUUACGUUUGUAUUAAUAUAAAUAAAUAAUUUUAAAGUAUUUAGUAUCAUUUAUGCGCGUGUGAAUUUGGACGGUAAAAUUAUUCUGAAUAUUGAAGUUCAUAGUAGUGUGGUAGCUGGUAGCGGCUUGCGGUGGCCUGCAGACAGGUGAAUACAUAGAACACACAAUUCUCGACCUACACCGACACAUUACACACUUGUUCGCCCGUCAGCUGAGGUCAACCAACCCAGGU
Bicyclus anynana (squinting bush brown) is the source of this 9880-nucleotide RNA transcript. RefSeq lists it as uncharacterized. The record is from RefSeq and is a predicted model, not a curated record. The transcript has 3 exons. NCBI's taxonomy places the organism in Eukaryota, Metazoa, Arthropoda, Insecta, Lepidoptera, Nymphalidae.